Molecule: long non-coding RNA, 587 nt
Organism: Cydia splendana
Lineage: Eukaryota; Metazoa; Arthropoda; Insecta; Lepidoptera; Tortricidae
Exons: 3
Source: RefSeq, a predicted model, not a curated record
GCAGACAUUUUGUUACAGCGCACGGCAACAUCGUUAUUUUUAGUAGCUAAAGGAUAUCGCCGCGUGUAGACGCUUGUGAGUUGUGUGUGACUUUUAAAUUAAUAAACGAUAACUUACAAUAUGAAGUUCAUCACAUUUUCCAUGAUCAUAUUCGGAGCUAUCGCCAUCAGUGAGAACUCAAUAGUCCCCAGCAACAAAGAUAUAUAUGUUAUGGACAACCCAACAUCAAAUAACAUAUAUAUAUCCCUAUUACCAAUAGAAAACCCAAGCAAAAAUACUGAAAAAGAACCCAAAGAAUUGAACAUUUUACGUCAAGAAAUGAAAGAGAUUAUGAAAAGGAUGUGCGGGCAUGAUGUCAAGUCGGGAGAAAUGGAAUCGGACAUGUAUACAUGUGCGAUUAAGACCGUUACUUCGUUCAUUGGAUGUAUGCAUAUGGAUGCAGAUGGUUUGAAAGAUACAACUGUAGCCGACCCGUUCAUGAAAUGCCUCAGCCAAGCCGUGAGCGUGUUUGUGAAAUGCCUUAUAUCAAAACCAUCGGCCGCAGUACUUGAUAAUUACGCUCCCGAUAGCAUUAAUUAGUUAUGCAU